This 2831-nucleotide long non-coding RNA is filed under the name Canis lupus familiaris (dog). Its description in RNAcentral is "lncRNA (ENSCAFG00845006716.1)". The record is from RNAcentral. Lineage: Eukaryota; Metazoa; Chordata; Mammalia; Carnivora; Canidae.
UUUUUUUUUUUUUUUUUUUUUUUUCCUCAGGAGAUAUUUUCUUUGUGUUCACAAAUAUGCUCAAGAAGCUACCAUUCCAACUCUUAUAUUCUUUAUCUACACUGCAGCUCCUGAGCAGUACUACAACUGCUGGACUGUUAUUGCUUUUUCUGGCAUGUAUGAUGUUUUCAAGGCAAAAUUAUAAUUUUAUGGAGAAGUCACUGCUUGCUUAUUCUGGACACAGACAGCCACCACUUGCAUUAAGGGUGGUCAUAUAUUCAAUUUAUUCACCACGGCUUUUUCUGACAAUAUUGAAUUUUACUUGGAUCCUGUACUCCUAUAAAACAGUGAAGAUUUAAAAUUCCCCCCAAAUUUUGUGUUUCAGGAAAUGGCUCAUUUCAAAUAACCAGUCUUCCUCAUGCGAGUUCGAUAAUAUUCAUAGAUGCCACCCACUCCCAUUUCCUAUGAAUUCUUACUUUUUGCCCCAUAAAUAAUUAGCUGGUCAGCAGACAUCCAUCCUUAGUUGUUGGCUUUAAACUACUAUGUCUUAACCUCAUUCAAAACUGUUGUUUUGGAAACAGAGCUGGAAGUAUUUGGAAUGGAAUUCAGAUUUUUAAAAAUGUAUCUAGUAUAUUUCUUCGACCUUUAUUGAUGUACUAUUCUUAAGAUGGGAGGGAGCCUACCAAUAUAAUUUAGUAAAUUAUUCUCCUUAAAAGUCUUAUAAACAGCUGUUUUGAGUAAGUGGCAUUUUAGAUGGAAGAAGAAACAUAGUUAAAGGAAAAAGAAUAAAAGAUUUUUCUUUUUCACUGCCAUAGCUAUGUGAGUCCAAAGGCUGAGGUAUAUUCAGCUUUCAAAAUAUAUUUAUUAAAUAAAUUAAGGAAGCUGGUAUAUAAAAUGGUAAUGUAAUAUGUUUCAAAAAAAGGGCAGUAAUUCUGUAAAAAUUUUGAACAUUUUCUACUCCUAGUGUUACACUUUCUAUUUCAUAAAAAGAAAAGUAAGAGAGAGAAAGAUUAAAGCUUUGUCUGUUCUAGGUUAAAAUAGAUUUAAAAGCCAAAACAACCAAAUACUAAAUUAUAUGGUCUUUAAUUGGUCAAGCAUGAGCUUAUCAGCUAUAAAUGAGACUUUUAGAAUAUCUAAAUAUUCUCAUAGAAUUACCAUUAAAUAAUAUUAGGUACUAUAUCUCAAUUUCUUUAGCACUGAUAUGUUAUGGUAAAAAUAAUUUUUUUGCAGGGGAGAUGCACGCUUGAGGUAUUUAGGAAUGAAGUGUUAAGGUAUUUGUAAUUUAUUUUAUAAUGUAAUAUAGUGAAGUAAACAUAGGAAAUAGCAACAGUUUUUGAACUCAGAUUUUGGAUAAUUGUUUGCUCACUGUAUUUUCUAGACGUAAAAAUAUUCGUGCUUAAGUAAAUGUGAAGAAGAGAUGAAAGAGAAAAUUUUAGAUAAAGAUGAGAAAAAUAAGCCAUUUCAGAAAGAAAAAUCAUUUUAAAGUUUUCUUAAUAAAUAUGAAAUAUCUGAGAAUAAGGAGAAAGAAAUGCCAUAUCUAGGCCAAAAUGUGAGAAGGGAAGCUCUGCAGAUAAUUCCUCAACCAAAUGGAAAGUAGGUGGUGCUAGUCAAGGACCAAGAUCAGCAUGUUCCCAUGGACUAGCAUCCCACUUUUCCCUGAAAUUUAUACCAAAAUAGUUUAUGUAUUAACAUAUACAAAAAUUAGCUUCAAUAAAAACUCAGAGAUAUUUACUAUUCUAUUGAUAGAUAAUUCUAUAAACUGAAUAUAUAAUAAAAUUGAUGUAUAGGUGUUUAAGAGAGAGAGGGAGAAACUUUGAUUCUUCUUUUUGGGUAAAUACCUACAAAUAGAAUUAUUAAGCCAAAGAUCUCAACAUUUUGAAGGUUGUGAAUUAAAAUUACCGAAGUCCUUUCUAGAAAACACAGGCGCGAUCAAAAACUAUCACCAUUAUCAUUGUUACCAUUUAUAUAACUUCCUACUUCCAUGUAAGCAUUACACAAAGAAUAUUAUGUCUUUUUUUUUACCUCAUGCAAUAGUUCCAUUAAAUAAUUAUUAUUACCCCCAAUGUAAUAGACUUAAGUGGUUUAGGUUAUUUGUAAGUAUAUAAAGAAAGGAAAUUAUAUAAAUUCAUUUGUGUUAUUUCCUUCUACCAAAACAUGUAUAUCCUUACCUAUAUUAUUUAUGAUGUUCAUGUGCACCUUCCAACAAUGGAUAUUAUGUAUGUUUUAGAUUAAUAUGAUAAGUAAAAAAUGAUAUCUCAUUGUUUAAAAGAUUCACCAUUUUAUUAACCAUUUGCAUUUCUUCUUUUGCAAUUGUCUUUCCUCUUCUUAAAUACAUUCUCUACUUGAACAUCUCUCAAUUCUAUUAAUUUAUAAUGCUAUGUAUAGAAUAACAGUAUUAACCUCUAUUUGGAUUAUGGUUAAAAAUACUUAUCCCUACUGUGAAUUGAAGAGAAAUCGUAUCUUUUAAAGAAAUAGAACUGUUCACCGAAAUCUACAUUUAAAUAGAAAAACAUUUUAAAAACUGAAAAAUUUAUGUGAAAAGAAAAUGUAGAAAGAGACUCACUUUAUAGAUAAAAAUAAAAUUCAAGUUAAAUUACUGGGUUUCAGUCCAAAUAAUAACUUUAUAACUGUCCAUUGCAUAUAUUUGUCUAAAUUUGAAUACUUAUUUUAAAGCAACUUCACAAAAUAUGUUCAAAUUUUCUUAAUGUCCUAAUCACUCUAUAUUUGUUUCGUAGUUUUAUCUCUUUGUAACAAAAAUGGAAAGGUACAGAUAAGCAAAUUGCUAAUAUAUUCUGACAAUGCAACUAUUCUGGAAAACUUGAUUACAAAACAGCCUAUUUUUCUUUAAGUGA